GAAAUGCGAUAAGUAAUGCGAAUUGCAGAAUUCAGUGAAUCAUCGAAUCUUUGAACGCACAUUGCGCCCCCCAGUACUCUGGGAGGCACGCCUGUCUGAGCGUCAUUUCAACCCUCGCGCCCCGGCCUCUGUGGCCCGGCGCGGUGUUGGGGAUCGGCCGCCCGCCAGCGGGAGGCCGGCCCCUAAAUCCAGUGGCGACCACGCCGUAGCCUCCUCCGCGACCUCCCCUGUGCAGUAGCGAUACCUCGCAGCGGGACAGCGGUCUGACCACGCCGUAAAACCCCCAACUUCUCAAGGUUGACCUCGAAUCAGGUAGGAAUACCCGCUGAACUUAAGC
RNAcentral lists this unclassified non-coding RNA (337 nucleotides) under plant metagenome. Its description in RNAcentral is "partial contains 5.8S ribosomal RNA, internal transcribed spacer 2, and large subunit ribosomal RNA". The stretch from base 1 to 105 matches the Rfam family "5.8S ribosomal RNA", at positions 50 to 154 of the family's 154-position model. The record is from RNAcentral.